RNAcentral lists this ribosomal RNA (454 nucleotides) under uncultured bacterium. RNAcentral describes it as "partial 16S ribosomal RNA". It matches the Rfam family "Bacterial small subunit ribosomal RNA", at positions 28 to 507 of the family's 1533-position model. The record is from RNAcentral.
GAUGAACGCUGACAGAAUGCUUAACACAUGCAAGUCAACUUGAACUUCGGUUUGGGUGGCGGACGGGUGAGUAACGCGUAAAGAACUUGCCUCACAGAUAGGGACAACAUUUGGAAACGAAUGCUAAUACCUGAUAUUAUGAUUAUAUGGCAUCGUAUAAUUAUGAAAGCUAUAUGCGCUGUGAGAGAGCUUUGCGUCCCAUUAGCUAGUUGGAGAGGUAACGGCUCACCAAGGCGAUGAUGGGUAGCCGGCCUGAGAGGGUGAUCGGCCACAAGGGGACUGAGACACGGCCCUUACACCUACGGGAGGCAGCAGUGGGGAAUAUUGGACAAUGGACCAAGAGUCUGAUCCAGCAAUUCUGUGUGCACGAUGAAGUUUUUCGGAAUGUAAAGUGCUUUCAGUUGGGAAGAAAAAAAUGACGGUACCAACAGAAGAAGUGACGGCUAAAUACGUG